GGAUGCAAUAUACCAGCUACUAAUGCACCGGAUCCCAUCAGCAAGUCCGAAGUUAAGCGUGCUUGGGCGAGAGUUCAGUACGAGGGAUGGGUACCCGUGUUGGAGGAGUCUCGUGAUUGCAUCCC
RNAcentral lists this ribosomal RNA (125 nucleotides) under Ipomoea nil (Japanese morning glory). The record is from RNAcentral. Lineage: Eukaryota; Viridiplantae; Streptophyta; Magnoliopsida; Solanales; Convolvulaceae.